This 279-nucleotide ribosomal RNA is filed under the name Citrobacter murliniae. RNAcentral describes it as "partial 16S ribosomal RNA". It matches the Rfam family "Bacterial small subunit ribosomal RNA", at positions 832 to 1113 of the family's 1533-position model. The record is from RNAcentral. Lineage: Bacteria; Pseudomonadati; Pseudomonadota; Gammaproteobacteria; Enterobacterales; Enterobacteriaceae.
UUGAGGCGUGGCUUCCGGAGCUAACGCGUUAAGUCGACCGCCUGGGGAGUACGGCCGCAAGGUUAAAACUCAAAUGAAUUGACGGGGGCCCGCACAAGCGGUGGAGCAUGUGGUUUAAUUCGAUGCAAGAAGAACCUUACCUACUCUUGACAUCCAGAGAACUUANCAGAGAUGNNUUGGUGCCUUCGGGAACUCUGAGACAGGUGCUGCAUGGCUGUCGUCAGCUCGUGUUGUGAAAUGUUGGGUUAAGUCCCGCAACGAGCGCAACCCUUAUCCUUU